GUCAGGGUGUCCCCGGCGCUGAUUGGGCGGCGGCGCUGUCAAUCACGCGGGUGACGCGGCCGGGCCGGAGCGCGGCGGAGCCGAGCCCCGCCAUGUCCUGAGGAUGUUCCGGCUGGACGAGACCCCCGAGGAGCCCGGCUCCCCUCCCCCCUCGCCCUGGGGGGGCUCCCCCGCCCCCAGCCAGCCCGGGACCCCUUCCCCAGAGGCGCGCUCCCGGCUGGGCUCGGAGCGGGGCGCGGCACCGGGG
Molecule: long non-coding RNA, 247 nt
Organism: Hirundo rustica (Barn swallow)
Lineage: Eukaryota; Metazoa; Chordata; Aves; Passeriformes; Hirundinidae
Exons: 3
Source: RefSeq, a predicted model, not a curated record